Molecule: long non-coding RNA, 819 nt
Organism: Glycine soja
Lineage: Eukaryota; Viridiplantae; Streptophyta; Magnoliopsida; Fabales; Fabaceae
Exons: 3
Source: RefSeq, a predicted model, not a curated record
UUUAUCUCUCUCUCUAAUCUUCUCGAGUACCACACUGACCCUUCAUUUCUCUCUCUCUCUCUCAUGGUUGCCUUCUCUAUCUCACUUUCUCUUGGUCACUCUCUCUCUUUGGUGGAGGAUGGUGUGGGUCUGGAUGUGGAUGCCCUCGACAGCGUCAACGAGGAGGAGGGAUGUAGGGACCCUUCAGCGGUGCCUUCCCAGUCCACAGUCGUGGCAUUGUAGGCAGCACAAAGGGCGGGAACGGCGCCUCAUGGAUGGUGAUCAGCUUCACCUUCGGCAUCUCAGAGUAGCUGAACUAGAACUCGAACAACACUUCAACAUUGUGGAAGAAAAAAAAGCGCCGCAACCAUGUACUCUAGAGAAUCCGACAAUCCCACCAUGUGUUUGAUUUAAAGAAAUUUGACCAAAUUCUCAAGUGCAUUGUUGGAAAAAAUUACACUAGUGCCUACACGUGAAGUUCGGUCAUUUGAUUUUGGAGAUCGAGCUAAGAUAAGGAUGUACUUCCCCAAUGAGGGUUCCCAAUUGACUCCUCCACAUUGUUCUAUAGCAUUCUACUAGAAUGGAUUAUUGCCCUAUGGUAUUUAUUAAAUACAUGCACACCAGAAGAGUUAUAUGUUUAGUAAUAUUUAUUGGAACGCUUUCCAUCUGGCUACAGUAGGAUCAACUUAUUUCAAAGUUGUAAGGCAUUAAAGCAUUAUCUCCUCUUAAUUUUAUUGUUGUGUUAGCUUAUGAAACCAUUGGUGCAUCGUAAUGUAUUUCCUAUGAAGAACUUCCAAACUGGAGUAUCAAUGUUGAAGUUUGGUCCAACCCUUUUCCUUA